GAUGGAACUUGCACGGUGCAGAUAGGAACUUCAGUCCAGCCCCUCUGCUGUCCCCGACCCAAGCCAAAGAGGUCAAGUUCAAACGCUUCAGGGCCAUCUUCACCCAGGAGCAGCUCGCAAUCUUGGAGAGGGAGUUCAGGAAAAACCGCUACAUAGUCGGCCCUCAGAGGGUGUCCUUGGCUGCAGCCCUGGGCCUAACAGUACUGCAGGUGAAGGUGUGGUUUCAGAACAGGCGGAUCAAAUGGAAGAAGGACGCCGAGAAAACUCAAAGCGGUCAAGCAGCGUUCGACCAAGGUCCGACCGGGGACCCUCCAGGCAGCCGCUGAGGAGGGCCCAUCAUCCAAGGGACAGGCCAGCGAUCGCCCGGAGAAAGGGGAAGCGCCUGGGCCGCUGCGGAUAUCCGUCAUCUGUGGCUUUCCCUUCGACCAACUUCACCCUCCAGACUCACACCUUUUUCAAAAUAACUCGUUAGAUUUUUGUACAUAAGGAAAACAUAAGACUUGUUAAACAAGAUUGAUCGCCUUGUAAAUGUCUGGCUGGCUGUUAUGGAGCUCCGUUUUAUGGAGAUGCGGAUUGAUUUAACUUAAAUCACGAUUGAUCAGGAUCUCUUGUUCGCUUAUGAUUUGUUCUCCAGGUUUAAGGUUGAGAGUUCUUAUUUGGCGGCUUGCUCACCGAACCAGGGCUAUAGUUACCCUGACGCUUCGGUAUCAGUAGGUUUAAUUGGCGAUCAAUGUGUCGACAGUGUAUAACUCUGGCGGGAUCUGAAACGUCCUGCAGUAGUUAUCGCAUACAGGCUGGAGCUUAACCUGGGUGCAGUGUAAUUCCAGACAGAGUUAUCAGCAAGGAUCAGGGUUCUCUUCAUGGCAAAUCCAUGGAAAGUCAGCCUAUCGGUGAACUUUGUGGACCCACCGUCAGAGCCGGGCGGAGCAAGCAAAGGGAAUUGGAGAGGUGCUGCAGUGUCCUGAGAAAAUGACAGGGGAGGCAGGCCUGAGGGGGAAGUCCUGUUCCCCUGGUAGCUUAACAACAUUAGAAAAAAGAAAAGGCCACUCGGCUCCUGGAGCCUGUUCAACAAUUCAGUUGGAUAACGGCUGAUCUCAUAUAUCUGGAUCAUCCUACCUAAUAAAUUUCAGUCUUGAAAGUGCACUCUCAGAGGGCACAGGUUGUGCUGCAUGUGACCUUUGUGUUACUUGAC
Molecule: long non-coding RNA, 1192 nt
Organism: Carcharodon carcharias (great white shark)
Lineage: Eukaryota; Metazoa; Chordata; Chondrichthyes; Lamniformes; Lamnidae
Exons: 3
Source: RefSeq, a predicted model, not a curated record